Phoenix dactylifera (date palm) is the source of this 6345-nucleotide RNA transcript. RefSeq lists it as uncharacterized. The record is from RefSeq and is a predicted model, not a curated record. Lineage: Eukaryota; Viridiplantae; Streptophyta; Magnoliopsida; Arecales; Arecaceae.
CUACUGCCUUAAAACUUCGCAUUACUUUCUCGAAGACACGUGACUCUGCAAACUAUAUGAACGCUCUUUCUUCUUAAACUCCGCGCGGGUUUCCCCGGCACUCUCUGUGGAGCGGAGAACCGACCAAGGCCGCCGGAGCGACCGGACAACGGACCGAAUCGAGGGUUUCCUCCCUUUGUUGCUCUCUAGGUUUCAAUUCAUCGCUGAGAUUAUUCCCGACGGGACGAUUUUGGGUAUUGUUUUAAGUAUUGGAGAUGGAGGGUUGGGAUUGUGCCGGCGAUGACUAAAUGUUUGGGGUUAGCUUCACCGGCGAGGGAGCAGCGAGGCUCCGGGAGAGGAUUAUGGAGAAUCUGAAGGAGUUCAUGGGAGAUUACGCCGACGACAUCCUCAUGGUAUGAUUCCGUUUUCCAUUUCACCCCCUAAAUUUUAUAGUCGGAAAUGCUUAAACCACUGCUGAUUUUCUGAUCUUCCGGCGUCUGAGUUGCUUCUCUGAACUUCUUGGUUAUUUUACUCGAAUCAAAGUGAAAUGAAGUGACGAUCGCUGGGUCUCGAAAUAGUCAACAUUUCUGGCUUCCAGAUGAUUUCGUUUGUAGGGUUUUAUGGAGUUUGAUAGCAAUCUAUACUGAUGAAUUGAUGGAUUAUAAUUGGGAUAAAUGUACUAAAAUGCUUCUUCUUUUUUUUUGAAAUUCAUAUGCCGAGAGAAAGCUAAUUUAGUCUGGUAGUAUAAUUCUUCCCUCUGUAGGUGAAGAUACCAUAUAUCCAACUCCACUGAUACUUUUCUUGAUUAGACAUUUUAUUCGGAAAAUGUGGGGUUUCAAAGAUAUGCCAGAGAGUAUCUCAAAGACAUCAUCAAAUUAACAUGCGGUAGUUCUAAGAAGGACUUGAGUUAAACAUUUAACAACUAUGGUUUGCUUCAUGAACCGGGGCGCGUCUCCGUGGUCAUACCCCUCUGCAUAGCAAACAUGGGUUCUAGGUUCGAAUCUUAGGUGGUAUAUCCCUACAUAUUGCGACCUAGGUAGUUCUAGCACAGGUGGGUCUCUCUCUCCCCUCUCUCUAAGUUUGGUGGGGGCAGUUUCUGGAUCGUAGAGAAGCUUGUAACAUAAUGGCUCCCAUACCAAUGAGUUUGGAUAAACGCAUGAGUAUUGAAGAUUAUUUACAUAUUUGAAGAUGGGGUUAGGGUGGGCAUGGGUUACCCAUUUCGUUUUGGAAUUAUGUUUUGUAUAGUGACAUCUCUAUCUGUUUGUAUUUCACUUUCUUUAUAUCGUUUAUAUAUUUUAUCUGGAGUGGUUGGCAUAUCGGUGAAAGAGUGCAGCUGAGUUUUGGCAGGUUCCCCCUCCUUGGGUGGCGAUUUUGAGAUGGGUAGGAUGACAUGAGUGGUUUUUGGAACUAUAUUUUCUUUUAUUGAUGACAUCUUCCAUCCUCAGGUGGCAUUUUCUUUAACCUUUUCUUGUAUUUUGGCAAAGUGCCUAAUGAUAUUGAGAAAGGAACACAGUUCAUUGACAUGAAGAACGCAAGGGUGAUUCAGACAAUACUGUUACAGUCUUAUAACCAGGGAAGCCCAAGAAUAUGUUCUGGUCAUAUUCAGGAAUUGUAGACACAAGGAUGAGGCAAGAAAUGAGCUUAAUGUGUUCUUAGGAGAUGGCCAUGCUGCUUUUGUAACCUGGUAUCCCUGCUUUUCUCAUUAUGUAUUUUACAGUUUUAGUUUUUCCAGUUCUAACAGUGAAAUCAAGAUCCUGACUUCAUUUUCACUGGAUGUGUUAGGCAAGUUUGGAUGAGACCAUUUUAUUGCAGGUUUUCAGUAUCAUCUAUCUUCAAACGUGCACCUGUACGUGCAACUUCAUGACUCAUCUCCUGAUAAAAUGCCCAAAACACAAUCCAUAUUAAAUGAAUCUUCUGGAAGAUACCAUUCAUGUGCAGCAAAUGCAAGUUAUAGAAUGCAUUCUGAUUCUGGAAAUAUGAGAGAGAGAGAAAGAGAGAGAGAGAGAGGUCAGCUAAAGUUUCUGAAAAUUGGCACAAAGGGGAAUGGAAAGGAUUGGUAUGGGAGGAGACUGAACCAUUUUCUCUUUGGAGCAUGAUGGUUGAGAAUUUUCAGUCGGCGGAAACAAGGUAUCGUUGAGCCAAAUGAUCCAGUGCUCUCAGACCUCAAAUUCACAAAAAAACAGACUGGACAAUAUUUCUAGCAGCUAAAAAGGUUUUUUAUGCUAGAACUUAUUUAUGGUUCCACCAAAUUAAGUAGCCAGUAGACCCUGCAUCAUAUUUGCUCUCUUUGUUUUGUUGCUAACUAGAAAGCAGCAAACUAUUGUAAGUGAUGCAUAUGACCGGGAUUCUAUAGAUUUCACCAAGUCACUGUAAUAAAGUGUUGAAGUUUCAUCAAGUUAUGGAUUUGCAUAAUCUUUAUACCAUUUUCUGGCCAGAUAGCUUUCGCAAUUUAUUUGCUUUCUAGUAGUUUCUUUCCUCCAUCUUCUUCCCUUCCCUUAUUUUAGAAGCACAAUUUUUUAUUCCAUAGUUUUUCUCCAAAAUGACUAAAUGCAGCUUUGCCUCAUAUUGAAUAACUCCCCAUCUUUAUUUUUGCUUCAUUGGGAAGAGGUUCUUAAGGGGAUUAUGUAAAUUUAAGCACUUACAGGUACUGUGCUUACCUUUUUGCCUCUUUAAACUCCAAAAACAUUCUAGAGAGCAAGGUUUUAAAAUCCGGUACGGACCAUGGUGCCGGUUUUUUCUAUGAUCGGUAUGGUACUGGACUGUCUCAUACCAACUCACUGUGCAGUGCUAUGUACCAAUACAUUUUUUUUUGUUUAUUUAUUUAAUUUUUUCAGUUUUUUAUCUUUUUAAUUCACAAUAUGGAUACUAAGCUAUCUUAUUUUAUCAUGUUCAAGUGAUUUUUGAUGGGGCGCUUUGAUGCCAAAGUGUCAGUAUUGUUAAUGAUACUCGUAAUUUCCACUAUUGAAGUGUACUAAUUCAAGAGUCUAGUUUAACUAUAUAAAUUAAUAAUCUAGUUUAAGAAUCAGGUUCUUUUCUGCUUUUCUUGCUGGGCUCCAUCUGGCCACCUAAUGACCUAUGCUCCUUGCAUAUUCAAUAAUAAAUAAUUAAGUUCAAUAUAGUCUAUACAAAAUUUUAUGGGGUUCUAUGAUAGUUUUUCCAGAAUCUUAACCUUAUUACUUUCAUUUUUUACCUUUAGAGGGUGAUUUUCAGAAUUCUGAGUUUUUUGCGAAUGAAAAGAAACUCUGCUCUGACUGAAAAAGGAAAGGAAAGCGAAAGAUUCAGAGUUUCGUCAAAAGAAAAGUGGAAAAAAAAAUGUCAAAAGAGCCAGAUGAGUCUAUAGACGGAUCAAAAGAAUCCGAUCUCGAAAGAAGAGAAAUGAGAAUGCCUCGUAGCAAUUCAUUGGCAUUAUGGUCAAAGCCCGGUGAGCAGGCAAGAAAGAGAGAGGUAGCCCAACCACUUCCAAAAGCAGGUAGGGAUUCUUAAAAAAGAGAUAUGGGGUAAUUAUGAUUUAAAAUGAAUAAUUUGGAUAACUACAAAAAUGCAUAACUAUUUCAAAAAUCAGCUUCUAAAUUAUCUGUGCAUGUUCCCUUUUUUGUACAUUUAAUCAAAUCUUUUAUAGGAGCCUGGCUUGUAGGGUAGAAACGUUGCAUCACCCUCUUCCCCUCUUCUUUCCUCUCUCUCUCCCCUUUCUUCUUCUCCUUCCUCCUCCUCCUCCUCCUCCUCCUCCUCCUCUUCUCUCCCUCUUUCUUUCUCUUGGUCGAAAGGCCGUUAGGGGUCCCCAAACCACUCCCGUGACCCUAGAAGUGAGGAGCUGCUGGCCGAACCAACUGUGGUACCAGUCCAAACAAGCCUGUACCUAUCUACACCAGCUGGCCAUCGAUUCCAGUCAGUUUCAUUGUCCUGAGGCCAGCAUGCAUGACAGUUUUUGUCAGAAUGGUACAGUACAAAUGGUACUGUCCUGUUCCGACAGUUUUUCAAUGCUUGCCAGAGAAUGAACAAUCCACUUGAGUGCAUUAUGAUAUAUUGGAAGUGAAUUUUUUCAUCAUUAAGUAAAGAAUGUCCUUAUUAUUUCUUACUGAAUUUGUACCUGAUGCUUUCCAGUCUGCUGUAGGAAGAUAAGAUGGCUACGAGGAACAUAGCUUCCUUAUAUGGGGCAGAAAUGAAUCUAGGAAAUUAUGGACAUAUUCUUUUCUCUCGUGUUUCUCUGUAACUUGCAUUAUCUUGAUUUCUAUUGUCUUUCAUCCUUUUGUUUCUUUAAAAAUAAUCCUCUUGUAAUUGCCAUUAGAGAUGCACAGCUCCCACUUUAAUGAUUGAUGUUUCAUGGCAGCUUCUUUAGUCCACUCUUCUUGAUGAUGUGAGGACUGUCAGGAAGACAAGUGGAAACCAGCUUUAAAGUAGCUUCACUCUGUGAUAUGUCCAUUAACCACAAAUUCUAUGUUGGAGGAGAGACCUCAGACAACCAUAUUCAUUGCAAGAUAUUCAGGUGUUAUGGCAAUGGUGCUCAAAGCUGGAAGAGAACAGCUAAAGAUGCAAAGAAGCUUAGAUGUUCAGGAAAUAUUUUUGAUAGACUUGGUCACCGCAUGGACUAGAUCGAGAUUAUAAAUUAGUCAUCAGACUAUAGAACACCUGAACAAAAGAAAAUCAUUAUGAUUCUGAUCAAAUUCAACAAUUAGAUAGUUUGGAUUAUGGUUCAGGAAGUCAGUAUGAUGGAAUUUCUGCUGGAAAUAUAACCAUGCUACGUAGUGAAACAGGGAAGUCCCAAAGCUAUUAUGAUUUUGAUCAUAUCAGAUAUUCACAUAGUUUGGACUAUGAUCAAAGAAGACAGUACAAUGAAAUUUUUGCUGGAAAUAUAACCAUGCUAGGUAGUGAAAUAUGGAAAGUCCCCAAUUCUUCAUCAAAUAAUGAUGAAUGAAUAUGAUAAUGUCAACAUUGUAAAGCAUCGGGAUUUGAAUGCUUCCCAAAGUGCUUUCUCUGCAACCAAAAGCAAGAACUCACUCGUGGUGCGGUAUAAUUUUGUCAAGGAUACUGAUGGAGUUGUAAAGAAAACAAGGUUGAUGGAUCAAGAUCCACCUGUUACUGCAUUGAAAAAUGCAUCUUGCAAGAUUUUGAAUGUAUCUGUAAUGUGAAUACAUGGAAACCAUCUUACUAAAAGCACCUGAGAGUGUCACAGAGCAGAGAAUCCGAUGGCUGGGGAAAAGGGUAAUGUGGGUGCGAAGAAGCCAAAUUUGCAGCUUAUAAAGGAGAACAUCACCGCCAACUCUCAAUAAAUAAAUAAAUGGGCUUUUAUUAAGUUAAACUUCUAAUUGUCAUUUUCAUUUUUGCAGUAAGACAUGCAUGAGACAAGACUAUGAUAGUCAACUGUACAUAUCUGUAAGCUUUGUGUUUUUUCCCUCUACCUCUAGAGGUGAUUAUUAUUUUAUUUUCUUAAAGUCAAACUCCUUAACUUUUGAAAAUAUACUGAGCAUGAAAAAAUAGGUUACUUGCUUUCCUUUUCUCUGGUGAUGUUUCUCCUUCUGGCUGAUGACAAUCUUAAAUGCAUCAUGGAUUUAGGAAAAUCAGAGAGCUCUUCCAAUUGAUAUAUAUUUUUUUUAUAUAAAAAAAAGGAUCAUUGGAAAGAAAUAUAAUAUUCUCCUGUUUUAAUUUAUUCUCAUCCUUCUCUUUCUACCCUCUUUGACAAAGAAAUGUGCUGAUUUUCUCUAUAUUGUACAGGAUGUGGCUCGUUUGAUUGUUUGAAAUGAGGUGCAGAAAACCGUGGUGUCAACACCUGUGCAAGCAAUUCUACCAUUUUUGAUGCUACGGAGGCGGUAACCACAAUGGACACUUAAAGUGCUGGGUUUGCAGGUGCACUUUGCUGCUACAAAAGAUACACAUUCUCUCCAUUUCAACAACUUUGGAGAUGUGCCAAAAGUCACCGUUGUGGCUGAUAUUGCAACCAAGCAUCCAAAAGGGUUGCCGGGGAUGGCACUGAAAAUUAAAAGCUGCUUCAGUGAUGGUUUUGCGCCAUGCCGCAUGGGUCCCUUCAUUUGCUUCUAGGCAUAACAGAGAACUAUUUCCAGGAGGCAUUCUUAAGUUGCCUUUCAAGCCUGCCCCCCAAUCAAACCUGGUGCCCAAAUUUUACAGUGGAAGCUUGAGGCUCUAACCUUCCAGACCCAGGGACCAGAAGUCUUCAGAACAGUCCACUGACAUCAGGAAACAAUUUCUCAUCUCUUAAGAGGGUGAAAUCUCAUGUAUAUUCUGAAGAGAAGUAAAGCGAGACCUUCCUGACGCAGACCCUCGCCCUCGUGGGUGCAAAUCUGAGUUAAACAAAUUUAAAAAUUUGUUGAUUUGAUUAUACUUAAUUAAAAUUUAUAAAAAAUUUUUAAAUAA